This 1277-nucleotide ribosomal RNA is filed under the name Listeria monocytogenes. RNAcentral's name for it is "partial 23S ribosomal RNA". It matches the Rfam family "Bacterial large subunit ribosomal RNA", at positions 1 to 1270 of the family's 2925-position model. Lineage: Bacteria; Bacillati; Bacillota; Bacilli; Caryophanales; Listeriaceae. The record is from RNAcentral.
UUGGUUAAGUUAGAAAGGGCGCACGGUGGAUGCCUUGGCACUAGGAGCCGAAGAAGGACGGGACUAACACCGAUAUGCUUUGGGGAGCUGUACGUAAGCGUUGAUCCAGAGAUUUCCGAAUGGGGGAACCCACUAUCUUUAGUCGGAUAGUAUCCUUACGUGAAUACAUAGCGUGAGGAAGGCAGACCCAGGGAACUGAAACAUCUAAGUACCUGGAGGAAGAGAAAGAAAAAUCGAUUUCCUGAGUAGCGGCGAGCGAAACGGAAAGAGCCCAAACCAAGAAGCUUGCUUCUUGGGGUUGUAGGACACUCUAUACGGAGUUACAAAAGAAAGUUAUAAAUGAAGCGGUCUGGAAAGGCCCGCCAAAGACGGUAACAGCCCGGUAGUUGAAAUGGCUUUCCCUCCAGAGUGGAUCCUGAGUACGGCGGAACACGUGAAAUUCCGUCGGAAUCCGGGAGGACCAUCUCCCAAGGCUAAAUACUCCCUAGUGACCGAUAGUGAACCAGUACCGUGAGGGAAAGGUGAAAAGCACCCCGGAAGGGGAGUGAAACAGUUCCUGAAACCGUGUGCCUACAAGUAGUUAGAGCCCGUUAAUGGGUGAUAGCGUGCCUUUUGUAGAAUGAACCGGCGAGUUACGAUUUGUUGCAAGGUUAAGCGGAAAAAGCGGAGCCGUAGCGAAAGCGAGUCUGAAUAGGGCGCAUAAGUAACAGGUCGUAGACCCGAAACCAGGUGAUCUACCCAUGUCCAGGAUGAAGGUAAGGUAAUACUUACUGGAGGUCCGAACCCACGCACGUUGAAAAGUGCGGGGAUGAGGUGUGGGUAGCGGAGAAAUUCCAAUCGAACUUGGAGAUAGCUGGUUCUCUCCGAAAUAGCUUUAGGGCUAGCCUCGAGGUAAAGAGUCAUGGAGGUAGAGCACUGUUUGGACUAGGGGCCCUUCUCGGGUUACCGAAUUCAGAUAAACUCCGAAUGCCAUGUACUUAUACUCGGGAGUCAGACUGCGAGUGAUAAGAUCCGUAGUCGAAAGGGAAACAGCCCAGACCACCAGUUAAGGUCCCCAAAUAUAUGUUAAGUGGAAAAGGAUGUGGGGUUGCUUAGACAACCAGGAUGUUGGCUUAGAAGCAGCCACCAUUGAAAGAGUGCGUAAUAGCUCACUGGUCGAGUGACCCCGCGCCGAAAAUGUACCGGGGCUAAACAUAUUACCGAAACUGUGGAUGAACCUCUUUAGAGGUUCGUGGUAGGAGAGCGUUCUAAGGGCGGUGAAGUCAGACCGGAAGGAC